CAAAACGUGCACUAUGUCCUGUUUGUUUUUCCUCUUCGCCCCUAAAUUUCUCCAUGUCAUCAGCAAAUCCUCCCCAUGUCAACAGAACAAUUUGAAACUUGAACUAAUUCUCAAAACUGAAACACAGAGAAACCUGACCCGAGAACCAAAAAUAGGGAAUCUCUCUCACUUCUGAUCAUUUUGCCCUAACCCCAUCUCAGGAAAUUCCCAAUUUCGAACCUAGUUUCAAAAAACACAACUUUCCCUGAUAAUAAUCUCCUCCCUCCUCCAUCAUCACCUAUCAGUCUCUUUCCCCGCAUUUGGUUCCCAAGAAAGCCCAGGAAAAUAAAUCCAAAUGAGCUCCCAUUUCCUCCCCUCCACUUUCCCACGGUUUCUUCCCAACCAAACACACUAUUUAUGAGCUUCAACAUUUCUUUUUUCUCAACGCUUCAAUCGGGUUUCGAUAUGAAAAGAGCGAAAGUUGGCGCUUAUUGUCCUUCCCCUGCUCCCACAUUGGUGGUUCUCGUUGUACUAUUGGUGGGUUCAGUGCAGUUCAUACAGUGCCAUAACGUGGAUGACUACAACGAGUUUGAUAAUCCCGAGCUUCUUCUGUUGUUCACACAGCUUGGUUAUGGGACGCUGAUUGGAACCAGGCUUUUAUCUUUCAUUUAAUUUGGAUUUCUUGGCUUCUUGCAUCCAGAAAACUAAAUGUAUGAGUAGUUUUUACAAGUUACAUUUAGUUUGUUUGGAUACCUAGAAAAUCCGAGUAAAAUAGGAAAAAAUGGCUUUCAUGGGGGAAAAAAAAACAUCUGGAAUCAAUCAAUUCUAAUUAAACUAGUUGGUUACCUGAGUUGAGUUUCUCAUUCUUUUUUAAUUCUUUGGAAGGAAUACAAAAUGGAAUUUGAAACUCAAAUCUUAAUGGCUUUUCUUCACCAACUAAAAUGGAGGGUCACUAGAAAUACCUGUUGUGUUUCUUGGUCAGAAACUUCAUAUUUGAGUGCACUGUUAUAAUAUCGGGAAGAAUUAUAGGAGCAUUAUUAAUGUGAUUCGGCUAUUGAGACUUCAUAGGAAGGUGGUUUGGACUGGGUAGGUGUGUAUUCCAAUUUUUUUUUUUCUCACUUGUCCUGGUGAAUUCUUAGCAAUGAGACUAGGAUUUAAGCUCAAAAGGUUAUACUUAUCCAUUGUUUCUAACUCUUUUAACUUGUUAUGAUUGACGAGGAAGAUGAUAGUUUCUUUCCGACCCAUUAUUGGAAAGUUUCUCUUUGAGGCACCAUCAUGCUCUUUCCUUGGCAUCUCUUUCUAUUAGGAUCUGUUUAGGCCCAAAGGGCUGUAAGCAAUAAAGAAGGAUCUUGUAAAAUAUCAGACAGAGAAAACCAAAUGCUAGCAUUUUCUGUUGUUUUUCUUUCAGUAGUAUUUUCUGCAACUAGUGGGUCAUUUUGAAUCAUAAGUUGCAUUCUCAUGUAGUACAAUGGUUUGAAUUUCCACAACAAGAGAUAUUACCCAAUAA
Molecule: long non-coding RNA, 1486 nt
Organism: Vitis vinifera (wine grape)
Lineage: Eukaryota; Viridiplantae; Streptophyta; Magnoliopsida; Vitales; Vitaceae
Exons: 2
Source: RefSeq, a predicted model, not a curated record